This 301-nucleotide ribosomal RNA is filed under the name uncultured bacterium. Its description in RNAcentral is "partial 16S ribosomal RNA". It matches the Rfam family "Bacterial small subunit ribosomal RNA", at positions 509 to 809 of the family's 1533-position model. The record is from RNAcentral.
CAGCCGCCGCGGUAAAACGGAGGGGGCUAGCGUUGUUCGGAAUUACUGGGCGUAAAGCGCACGUAGGCGGCUUGGUAAGUUAGAGGUGAAAGCCCGGAGCUCAACUCCGGAAUUGCCUUUAAGACUGCCGAGCUAGCAGGUGAGAGAGGUAAGUGGAAUUCCGAGUGUAGAGGUGAAAUUCGUAGAUAUUCGGAAGAACACCAGUGGCGAAGGCGGCUUACUGGCUCAUACUGGACGCUGAGGUGCGAAAGCGUGGGGAGCAAACAGGAUUAGAGACCCCAGUAGUCCCUGUCUCUUAUAU